Molecule: small nuclear RNA, 177 nt
Filed under: Klebsormidium nitens
Lineage: Eukaryota; Viridiplantae; Streptophyta; Klebsormidiophyceae; Klebsormidiales; Klebsormidiaceae
Description: U2 spliceosomal RNA
Rfam family: U2 spliceosomal RNA
About the family: U2 is a small nuclear RNA (snRNA) component of the spliceosome (involved in pre-mRNA splicing). Complementary binding between U2 snRNA (in an area lying towards the 5' end but 3' to hairpin I) and the branchpoint sequence (BPS) of the intron results the bulging out of an unpaired adenosine, on the BPS, which initiates a nucleophilic attack at the intronic 5' splice site, thus starting the first of two transesterification reactions that mediate splicing.
Source: Rfam by way of RNAcentral
UUGUCCAUUUUGGCAUUGGCUACGACCAAUUACAGUAUCUGUUCUAGAUGGCUUGAUAGGCUAUCUCCCAAACACCUAUCAGCUAUUUUUCGGGGCGGGGGGGCUGAACCAAGCUUGCUUGGACCCCCCCAGCGUCGCCUCUGCCUUGCACAAACCGCAAAGGAGGGCGCAGCCCAC